This 253-nucleotide ribosomal RNA is filed under the name uncultured bacterium. RNAcentral describes it as "partial 16S ribosomal RNA". It matches the Rfam family "Bacterial small subunit ribosomal RNA", at positions 524 to 776 of the family's 1533-position model. The record is from RNAcentral.
GACGAACCGUGCGAACGUUGUUCGGAAUCACUGGGCUUAAAGGGCGCGUAGGCGGGCUAUCAAGUCCGGGGUGAAAUCCUCCAGCUUAACUGGAGAACUGCCUCGGAUACUGAUGGUCUCGAGGAGGAUAGGGGCACACGGAACUGUGGGUGGAGUGGUGAUAUGCGUAGAUAUCGGGAGGAACACCUGUGGCGAAGGCGGCUUUCUGGGCCCUACCUGACGCUGAGACGCGAAAGCGUGGGGAGCGAACCGG